CUGGGUGGCACCUGUGCUGGCAGCGCAUCAACCCGGACCGACAACGACACGAACCAAAUGAACUGGGCGACACGGACUGUUUUGCCGCCGGGGAAAGGAAGAGAUGGGAAUAGCGGAGUUCAGCGGCCGGCGGCUUUCCUCGUCCGAACCGUACAUCACCUCCUCGUCCGAGUCGUUGAUCAUCGAGAACGUUGGAUUAUCCUUCGCUAUGAUCGGUUCUGCAAGGGCACCAUGUGUAAGAGAGAGAGAGAGGCGUGUUAGUUGGGGGGUGAGCAAAGAGCCGACAAGCUUACCGUGCACGGCCGGACCGCUCGGCGAGUAGACGUAGGCCAUCGCGUACAGAUAGAAGUUCAGCAAACCGUAGAAGCACAUAAACUGGGCCGAGCUUUUGUAGCUCGUGUACAGCUGCGCGAUAAAGUUGUCCUCGAGCGUGUCGAAGCCGAAGUGUUGCAUCGUGACGAUCAGCGAAAUCGUCAGCACGAUCAGCAUCAGCAGGGUGAGGAUUUUUAGUCGCAUAUCUGCAUUUGAAACCCAAAAACGAACGCGGUGAACAGUCUUGAAAACGCAGGAUGAACUUCCCCCUCUCCUUGCCUUACCAAAAUACGGCAUCGAUCGGAGCUCGGAGUACGCCUUCAGCAUCAGCAGUCCCAGAUAGAUUUAAGGUCGGGUUUCCGCUCCCGCCGUACGUACGUUGUAGUUUUCCGAGUCCUCGAAAUGGCUGUACGUUGGGUCGUUCAGCUCGUCGCACUUCUCCCAGAUGCCGAGCACCACGGCGCACAGCCAGAUCGGCAGCACGACGAUCAGCUUCGGCAGGUAGAAGGUAAGUAGCUUGCGCUCGUUCUGCCGCAGCCCGUGGUACACGCACAGCCAGAACAUGAGAAUGCCGCAGAGGAAGGUGGUCUGGAGCAGGGCGUCGAUCAUGCCCGGCAGCCAGCUGUUCGCGAUGAAGAUGAGCGGAAAGAGCGGAUCUGUAACGGGGAAGGGAGUUUGAAUGUAUUUUCAGUGGUUCAUUUCAAUUUUACUGCUAGUACGUCCAGUUUCUUUUUAGAUACUUUUAAAACACGUAAAACAUGCUAUCAGACUACUAAAUGCGCAAUCCAUGCUGAAAAAUGUCACUGUCAAUGUCAUAAUUCUGACUGAAACAAAAUCCAUGUUAGCGUACUCAAUUGUGAUAAACAGAGAUGAUGCUCAACAA
Anopheles arabiensis is the source of this 1195-nucleotide long non-coding RNA. RefSeq lists it as uncharacterized. NCBI's taxonomy places the organism in Eukaryota, Metazoa, Arthropoda, Insecta, Diptera, Culicidae. The transcript has 3 exons. The record is from RefSeq and is a predicted model, not a curated record.